Molecule: ribosomal RNA, 460 nt
Filed under: Gemella morbillorum
Lineage: Bacteria; Bacillati; Bacillota; Bacilli; Caryophanales; Gemellaceae
Description: bacterial SSU rRNA
Rfam family: Bacterial small subunit ribosomal RNA
Source: RNAcentral
GACGAACGCGGCGGCGUGCCUAAUACAUGCAAGUCGAGCGAAGUUUUUCUGGUGCUUGCACUAGAAAAACUUAGCGGCGAACGGGUGAGUAACACGUUAAGAACCUGCCUCAUAGACUGGGACAACUAUUGGAAACGAUAGCUAAUACCGGAUAACAGCAUUAACUGCAUGGUUGAUGUUUGAAAGUUGGUUAUGCUAACACUAUGAGAUGGCUUUGCGGUGCAUUAGCUAGUUGGUGGGGUAAAGGCCCACCAAGGCGACGAUGCAUAGCCGACCUGAGAGGGUGAUCGGCCACACUGGGACUGAGACACGGCCCAGACUCCUACGGGAGGCAGCAGUAGGGAAUCUUCCGCAAUGGGCGAAAGCCUGACGGAGCAACGCCGCGUGAGUGAAGAAGGAUUUCGGUUCGUAAAGCUCUGUUGUUAGGGAAGAAUGGAUAUGUAGUAACUAUACAUAUAAG